GCAGGUAUCAUCUGUGGAAGAGGAGGAGAGAAAUGAUGAGGAGGAGGACACAAACACUGUAGUAUUUUUCUGCCACUGCGUGGUAUUUUUCAGUGUCACUAAAGACACUGCAGUCACUCCCAACAGUCACUGGGCGAAGGCGGGUUGUCCCUGGACAGUCGUAUAGAGAUGAGUAUUCACACUCACAUUCACACCAAAUAAUCAAUGAAGUGUAAAUAAUUCACCCUAAUCCUGUAUGUUUUUGGACAGUGGGAGGAAACCAGAGUACAUGGAGAAACACGCCCGCCCCCCACACACAGGGAAAAAUCAAGAUCCUCAGUGAUUUGAACAACAGCUACACCAUGUGACCGCAGUCUGCUGUCCACCAGGGCUUCAACCGCCACCGUCCACAACUGGAGCUGGUCUCAGAUCUGCCGUGCAGCAGCAGCUGACAGCUGUACAGGCCACUAUCCUCCGCCUGCAGCUGCUGCAGCGUGAGGCUGUAGGCGAUGCCUCUGGGGCCAGGCUCCGUGGACAGCUGGACCCUGUCGGGC
This is a long non-coding RNA of Cynoglossus semilaevis (tongue sole), 533 nucleotides long. RefSeq lists it as uncharacterized. The transcript is spliced from 3 exons. The record is from RefSeq and is a predicted model, not a curated record. NCBI's taxonomy places the organism in Eukaryota, Metazoa, Chordata, Actinopteri, Pleuronectiformes, Cynoglossidae.